GACGAACGCUGGCGGCGUGCUUAACACAUGCAAGUCGAACGGAAAGGCCCUGCUUUUGUGGGGUGCUCGAGUGGCGAACGGGUGAGUAACAAGUGAGUAACCUGCCCUUGACUUUGGGAUAACUUCAGGAAACUGGGGCUAAUAACGGAUAGGAGCUCCUGCUGCAUGGUGGGGGUUGGAAAGUUUCGGCGGUUGGGGAUGGACUCGCGGCUUAUCAGCUUGUUGGUGGGGUAGUGGCUUACCAAGGCUUUGACGGGUAGCCGGCCUGGGAGGGUGACCGGCCACAUUGGGACUGCGAUACGGCCCAGACGCCUACGGGAGGCAGCAGUGGAGAAUAUUGCACAAUGGGCGGAAGCCUGAUGCAGCAACGCCGCGUGCGGGAUGACGGCCUUCGGGUUGUAAACCGCUUUCGCCUGUGACGAAGCGUGAGUGACGGUAAUGGGUAAAGAAGCACCGGCUAACUACGUG
Molecule: ribosomal RNA, 468 nt
Filed under: uncultured bacterium
Lineage: Bacteria
Description: partial 16S ribosomal RNA
Rfam family: Bacterial small subunit ribosomal RNA
Source: RNAcentral